RNAcentral lists this microRNA (21 nucleotides) under Picea abies (Norway spruce). RNAcentral describes it as "pab-miR11437". The record is from miRBase by way of RNAcentral. Lineage: Eukaryota; Viridiplantae; Streptophyta; Pinopsida; Pinales; Pinaceae.
AUCUAAUAUCAAUGUCGGCCU